RNAcentral lists this unclassified non-coding RNA (320 nucleotides) under plant metagenome. RNAcentral's name for it is "partial contains 5.8S ribosomal RNA, internal transcribed spacer 2, and large subunit ribosomal RNA". The stretch from base 1 to 105 matches the Rfam family "5.8S ribosomal RNA", at positions 50 to 154 of the family's 154-position model. The record is from RNAcentral.
GAAAUGCGAUAAGUAAUGUGAAUUGCAGAAUUCAGUGAAUCAUCGAAUCUUUGAACGCACAUUGCGCCCGCCAGUAUUCUGGCGGGCAUGCCUGUUCGAGCGUCAUUACAACCCUCAGGCCCCCGGGCCUGGCGUUGGGGAUCGGCGGAAGCCCCCUGCGGGCACAACGCCGUCCCCCAAAUACAGUGGCGGUCCCGCCGCAGCUUCCAUUGCGUAGUAGCUAACACCUCGCAACUGGAGAGCGGCGCGGCCACGCCGUAAAACACCCAACUUCUGAAUGUUGACCUCGAAUCAAGUAGGAAUACCCGCUGAACUUAAGC